CCCAGCUUGCUGGGGGAUUAGUGGCGAACGGGUGAGUAACACGUGAGUAACCUGCCCUUGACUCUGGGAUAAGCCUGGGAAACUGGGUCUAAUACCGGAUAUGACUCCUCAUCGCAUGGUGGGGGGUGGAAAGCUUUUGUGGUUUUGGAUGGACUCGCGGCCUAUCAGCUUGUUGGUGGGGUAAUGGCCUACCAAGGCGACGACGGGUAGCCGGCCUGAGAGGGUGACCGGCCACACUGGGACUGAGACACGGCCCAGACUCCUACGGGAGGCAGCAGUGGGGAAUAUUGCACAAUGGGCGCAAGCCUGAUGCAGCGACGCCGCGUGAGGGAUGACGGCCUUCGGGUUGUAAACCUCUUUCAGUAGGGAAGAAGCCGUGAGGUGACGGUACCUGCAGAAGAAGCGCCGGCUAACUACGUGCCAGCAGCCGCGGUAAUACGUAGGGCGCAAGCGUUAUCCGGAAUUAUUGGGCGUAAAGAGCUCGUAGGCGGUUUGUCGCGUCUGCUGUGAAAGACCGGGGCUCAACUCCGGUUCUGCAGUGGGUACGGGCAGACUAGAGUGCAGUAGGGGAGACUGGAAUUCCUGGUGUAGCGGUGAAAUGCGCAGAUAUCAGGAGGAACACCGAUGGCGAAGGCAGGUCUCUGGGCUGUAACUGACGCUGAGGAGCGAAAGCAUGGGGAGCGAACAGGAUUAGAUACCCUGGUAGUCCAUGCCGUAAACGUUGGGCACUAGGUGUGGGGGACAUUCCACGUUUUCCGCGCCGUAGCUAACGCAUUAAGUGCCCCGCCUGGGGAGUACGGCCGCAAGGCUAAAACUCAAAGGAAUUGACGGGGGCCCGCACAAGCGGCGGAGCAUGCGGAUUAAUUCGAUGCAACGCGAAGAACCUUACCAAGGCUUGACAUGAACCGGUAAUACCUGGAAACAGGUGCCCCGCUUGCGG
RNAcentral lists this ribosomal RNA (940 nucleotides) under Arthrobacter sp. EG5. RNAcentral describes it as "bacterial SSU rRNA". It matches the Rfam family "Bacterial small subunit ribosomal RNA", at positions 74 to 1026 of the family's 1533-position model. The record is from RNAcentral. Lineage: Bacteria; Bacillati; Actinomycetota; Actinomycetes; Micrococcales; Micrococcaceae.